UACGGGGGGAGCAAGCGUUGUUCGGAUUUACUGGGCGUAAAGGGCGCGUAGGCGGCCACCGCAAGUCGGUUGUGAAAUCUCUGGGCUUAACCCAGAAAGGUCAACCGAUACUGCGGGGCUAGAGUGCAGAAGGGGCAACUGGAAUUCUCGGUGUAGCGGUGAAAUGCGUAGAUAUCGAGAGGAACACCAGUGGCGAAGGCGAGUCCCUGGACAUCUCCUGACACUGAGGCACGAAAGCUAGGGGAGCAAACAGG
This 254-nucleotide ribosomal RNA is filed under the name uncultured bacterium. RNAcentral's name for it is "partial 16S ribosomal RNA". It matches the Rfam family "Bacterial small subunit ribosomal RNA", at positions 524 to 776 of the family's 1533-position model. The record is from RNAcentral.